RNAcentral lists this ribosomal RNA (165 nucleotides) under Lophiotrema sp. RNAcentral's name for it is "partial large subunit ribosomal RNA". It matches the Rfam family "Eukaryotic large subunit ribosomal RNA", at positions 99 to 261 of the family's 3401-position model. Lineage: Eukaryota; Fungi; Ascomycota; Dothideomycetes; Pleosporales; Lophiotremataceae. The record is from RNAcentral.
CGGCAAGAGCUCAAAUUUGAAAUCUGGCCCUCUCAGGGUCCGAGUUGUAAUUUGUAGAGGGUGCUUUGGCGUCGGCCCCGGCCUAAGUUCCUUGGAACAGGACGUCACAGAGGGUGAGAACCCCGUACGUGGCCGCCGGCCUUCGCCGUGUAAAGCCCCUUCGAC